Molecule: ribosomal RNA, 253 nt
Filed under: uncultured bacterium
Lineage: Bacteria
Description: partial 16S ribosomal RNA
Rfam family: Bacterial small subunit ribosomal RNA
Source: RNAcentral
UACGUAGGUGGCAAGCGUUGUUCGGAAUUAUUGGGCGUAAAGGGCGCGUAGGCGGCCUUCUAAGUCAGACGUGAAAUCCCCGGGCUCAACCCGGGAACUGCGUCUGAUACUGGGGGGCUUGAAUCCGGGAGAGGGAUGUGGAAUUCCAGGUGUAGCGGUGAAAUGCGUAGAUAUCUGGAGGAACACCGGUGGCGAAGGCGGCAUCCUGGACCGGUAUUGACGCUGAGGCGCGAAAGCCAGGGGAGCAAACGGG